Molecule: ribosomal RNA, 254 nt
Filed under: uncultured bacterium
Lineage: Bacteria
Description: partial 16S ribosomal RNA
Rfam family: Bacterial small subunit ribosomal RNA
Source: RNAcentral
UACAGAGGGUGCGAGCGUUAAUCGGAAUUACUGGGCGUAAAGCGCGCGUAGGCGGCUUUGCAAGUCGGGUGUGAAAUCCCCAGGCUCAACCUGGGAACUGCAUUCGAGACUGCAUUGCUAGAGUAUGGGUGAGGGAAGUGGAAUUUCCGGUGUAGCGGUGAAAUGCGUAGAUAUCGGAAGGAACAUCAGUGGCGAAAGCGGCUUCCUGGACCGAUUACUGACGCUGAGGCGCGAAAGCUAGGGGAGCAAACGGG